Non-coding RNA from Camellia sinensis, 687 nucleotides. Lineage: Eukaryota; Viridiplantae; Streptophyta; Magnoliopsida; Ericales; Theaceae. The record is from RefSeq and is a predicted model, not a curated record.
UUCUAAUAAAGAAAGGACAAUUUUCUCAUUUGAGAAAGCAACCAAAGAAGCUGUGGUAAUAAAGCAUCAUAUCUUUUUUCCUUCACUUGUACUGGUGAGGAAAGUCUUAUAUGAUAUAUGAAUUAUCUUCUACUUACAUUCUCCAUGAAAACAAAUUUCAUCACUCCAAUUAACAAAUGUCUCUGUUGCGCCUGUCGCUCCCAGGAUCGUCGAGAAGCGUUUCAAGUUUCCCAAUUUCGCUGGCCCCGAUGUUUCCGCCGAAGACUUGGGUCACCAUGCCGGCUACUACACAAUUCAGCAUUCUCAUGCUGCUAGGUUAUGAUGAAUUCCAUGAAUGUUCCUUCCAAAAGAAGUACUCUGGAGAGGAAACUUGACAAACUUAUACUCACUCUUUUUGGUGUUCUCUUCUGUAUGUGUCUAAUUGGGGCCAUUGGCAGGUUGCUUUUUUAAAUAUGUUUACCCUAAUUACUUUGUAUUCACCAAUUAUCCCCAUUUCUCUUUAUGUUUCAAUUGAGACAAUCAAAUUUAUACAAUCCAAUCAAUAUAUUAACAAUGCAAAAAAUUGACUCUUGUGAUAGAUGGGAAGUGUUUGAUGUAUGCACUAGACCCGAGUUUAAGAGUAAUACUACUGAAUUUGAGCUUGAAUUGUAGUUCAGUAGUUUGCUGCCGAGUUUCUCCUUUACAGAA